GACGAACGCUGGCGGCGUGCUUAACACAUGCAAGUCGAGCGGAAAGGCCCUUCGGGGUACUCGAGCGGCGAACGGGUGAGUAACACGUGAGUAAUCUGCCCUUGGCUUUGGGAUAACUACCGGAAACGGUGGCUAAUACCGGAUACGACAACCGUCUGCAUGGGCUGGUUGUGGUAAGUUUUUUCGGCCAGGGAUGUGCUCGCGGCCUAUCAGCUUGUUGGUGGGGUAAUGGCCUACCAAGGCUUCGACGGGUAGCCGGCCUGAGAGGGUGACCGGCCACACUGGGACUGAGACACGGCCCAGACUCCUACGGGAGGCAGCAGUGGGGAAUAUUGGACAAUGGGCGGAAGCCUGAUCCAGCAACGCCGCGUGAGGGAUGACGGCCGUCGGGUUGUAAACCUCUUUCAGUACCGACGAAGCGCCGAUGAUGGUGGUGACGGUAGGUACAGAAGAAGCACCGGCCAACUACGUG
RNAcentral lists this ribosomal RNA (472 nucleotides) under uncultured bacterium. RNAcentral describes it as "partial 16S ribosomal RNA". It matches the Rfam family "Bacterial small subunit ribosomal RNA", at positions 28 to 507 of the family's 1533-position model. The record is from RNAcentral.